RNAcentral lists this ribosomal RNA (891 nucleotides) under uncultured archaeon. RNAcentral's name for it is "bacterial SSU rRNA". It matches the Rfam family "Archaeal small subunit ribosomal RNA", at positions 12 to 911 of the family's 1478-position model. The record is from RNAcentral.
UUCUGCCGGACCCGACUGCUAUCAGAGUGAGAUUAAGCCAUGCGAGUUAACGUAGCAAUACGUGGCGCACGGCUCAGUAACACGUAGUCAACAUGCCCAGAGGACGUGGAUAACCUCGGGAAACUGAGUCUAAACCGCGAUAAGUGAGGAUUUCUGGAAUGGUUCCUGACUAAAAUCUAUAUGGCCUCUGGAUUGGACUGCGGCCGAUCAGGCUGUUGGUGAGGUAAUGGCCCACCAAACCUGUAACCGGUACGGGYUYUGAGAGGAGGAGCCCGGAGAUGGGCACUGAGACAAGGGCCCAGGCCCUAUGGGGCGCAGCAGGCGCGAAACCUCUGCAAUAGGCGAAAGCCUGACAGGGUUACUCUGAGUGACUUUCGCUAAGAAAGUCUUUUGGCACCUCUAAAAAGGGUGCAGAAUAAGGGGUGGGCAAGUCUGGUGUCAGCCGCCGCGGUAAUACCAGCACCCCGAGUGGUCGGGACGAUUAUUGGGCCUAAAGCAUCCGUAGCCGGUUCUGCAAGUCCCCCGUUAAAUCCAGCUGCUCAACAGAUGGGCCGCGGAGGAUACUACAGAGCUAGGAGGCAGGAGAGGCAAGCGGUACUCAGUGGGUAGGGGUAAAAUCCGUUGAUCCAUUGAAGACCACCAGUGGCGAAGGCGGCUUGCCAGAAUGCGCUCGACGGUGAGGGAUGAAAGCUGGGGGAGCAAACCGGAUUAGAUACCCGGGUAGUCCCAGCCGUAAACGAUGCAGACUCGGUGAUGGACUAGCUUUAUGCUGGUCCAGUGCCGCAGGGAAGCCGUUAAGUCUGCCGCCUGGGUAGUACGGUCGCAAGACUGAAACUUAAAGGAAUUGGCGGGGGAGCACCACAAGGGGUGAAGCCUGCGGUUCAAUUGGAG